RNAcentral lists this ribosomal RNA (483 nucleotides) under uncultured bacterium. Its description in RNAcentral is "partial 16S ribosomal RNA". It matches the Rfam family "Bacterial small subunit ribosomal RNA", at positions 28 to 507 of the family's 1533-position model. The record is from RNAcentral.
GACGAACGCUGGCGGCGUGCUUAACACAUGCAAGUCGAACGCUGAAGCUCAGCUUUUGUUGGGUGGAUGAGUGGCGAACGGGUGAGUAACACGUGAGUAACCUGCCUCCUUCUUUGGGAUAACGCCCGGAAACGGGUGCUAAUACUGGAUAUUCACUGGUCUUCGCAUGGGGGUUGGUGGAAAGUGUUUUUCUGGUGGGGGAUGGGCUCGCGGCCUAUCAGCUUGUUGGUGUGGUGAUGGCCUACCAAGGCUUUGACGGGUAGCCGGCCUGAGAGGGUGACCGGGCACAUUGGGACUGAGAUACGGCCCAGACUACUACGGGAGGCAGCAGUGGAGAAUAUUGCACAAUGGGCGGAAGACUGAUGCAGCGACGCCGCGUGAGGGAUGGAGGCCUUCGGGUUGUGAACCUCUUUCGCUAAUGGUCAAGCCGCAACAAUGGUUGUGGUGAGGGUAGUGGGUAAAGAAGCGCCGGCUAACUACGUG